Molecule: ribosomal RNA, 486 nt
Filed under: uncultured bacterium
Lineage: Bacteria
Description: bacterial SSU rRNA
Rfam family: Bacterial small subunit ribosomal RNA
Source: RNAcentral
CUACGUGCCAGCAGCCGCGGUAAUACGUAGGUCCCGAGCGUUGUCCGGAUUUAUUGGGCGUAAAGCGAGCGCAGGCGGUUAGAUAAGUCUGAAGUUAAAGGCUGUGGCUUAACCAUAGUACGCUUUGGAAACUGUUUAACUUGAGUGCAAGAGGGGAGAGUGGAAUUCCAUGUGUAGCGGUGAAAUGCGUAGAUAUAUGGAGGAACACCGGUGGCGAAGGCAGCCUCCUGGGAUAACACUGACGUUCAUGCUCGAAAGCGUGGGUAGCAAACAGGAUUAGAUACCCUGGUAGUCCACGCCCUAAACGAUGUCAAUUAGCUGUUGGGCAACUUGAUUGCUUAGUAGCGUAGCUAACGCGUGAAAUUGACCGCCUGGGGAGUACGGUCGCAAGAUUAAAACUCAAAGGAAUUGACGGGGACCCGCACAAGCGGUGGAUGAUGUGGAUUAAUUCGAUGCAACGCGAAGAACCUUACCUGGUCUUGACAU